This 590-nucleotide long non-coding RNA is filed under the name Homo sapiens (human). Its description in RNAcentral is "non-protein coding lnc-ACTR10-5:1". The record is from RNAcentral. Lineage: Eukaryota; Metazoa; Chordata; Mammalia; Primates; Hominidae.
AUGUUGACCAGAAGGAUUAAGCUGUGGGACACUAAGGCCCACAUCACCUGCCGCCUGUGUAGUGGGCACCUCAUUGAUGCAACCAGGGUGACCAAGUGUCUGCACACAUUCUGUAGGGGUUGCCUGGUAAAGUAUUUGUAAGAGAACAACACCUGCCCUGCAUGUAGGACUGUGAUGCGUCACACUCACUCACUGCAGUACAUCGGUCAUGAGAGCACCAUACAUGAGACUGUUUACAAAUUGGUAUCAGGUCUCCAAGAAGCAGAAAUGAAAACAGAGAAUUCUGUCACAAAUUGGGCAUGGAAGUGCCUAGAGACAUCAAAGGGGAUACUUGUUCCACAAAACAACACUUAGAUUUCCAUCAGAAUGGUGAAAUGAAAGCAGAAGACAGUUCAAACAAAGACCAAAAAAGAGAAAAAGGAAAAGGACAAUGAUUUUCACAGAAGUGAUGAGCAGGAAAGCAACAGCAGCAAGUUGUGGGGACUGAAAAGGAAAUGAAUCUGCUGCAUAGCCCAAGCAAUGGUCUGACAUCUAAAGAAGUUCACUGCCAAAAAUCUUAACCUUUUGUCCUUCAAUGAGGUAAUAGUCAA